UCCCCGUUGCCGGGGCAGUCUGAAUAGAAAAAUACAACUAUUCACAAGGGUUGCGCUCGUUAAUGGACUUAACCAAACAUCUCACGACACGAGCUGACGACGGCCAUGCAUCAUCUGUCACAGGGUUCCAAAAGGCACACUCUGCUUUCGCAGUGCUUCCCUGGAUGUCAAGCCCUGGUAAGGUUCUUCGUUUAUCAUCGAAUUAAAGAACACGAUCCACCGCUUGUGCGGGUCCCCGUCAAUUCCUUUAUGUUUUAGUCUUGCGACCGUACUCCACAGGCGGGAUACUUAACGCGUUAGCUUCGCUACUGAAGGGGUCGAUACCUCCAACAGCUAGUAUCCAUCGUUUACGGCGUGGACUAC
RNAcentral lists this unclassified non-coding RNA (363 nucleotides) under uncultured bacterium. RNAcentral describes it as "contains 16S-23S intergenic spacer region". The record is from RNAcentral.